CAGUCGCCACGGGAAUACGGAGGGGGCUAGCGUUGUUCGGAAUUACUGGGCGUAAAGCGUACGUAGGCGGCUUUGUAAGUUAGAGGUGAAAGCCUGGAGCUCAACUCCAGAAUUGCCUUUAAGACUGCAUCGCUUGAACGUCGGAGAGGUGAGUGGAAUUCCGAGUGUAGAGGUGAAAUUCGUAGAUAUUCGGAAGAACACCAGUGGCGAAGGCGGCUCACUGGACGACUGUUGACGCUGAGGUACGAAAGCGUGGGGAGCAAACAGGAUUAGAUACCCCCGUAGUCCCUGUCUCUUAUAC
RNAcentral lists this ribosomal RNA (301 nucleotides) under uncultured bacterium. RNAcentral describes it as "partial 16S ribosomal RNA". It matches the Rfam family "Bacterial small subunit ribosomal RNA", at positions 509 to 807 of the family's 1533-position model. The record is from RNAcentral.